Molecule: unclassified non-coding RNA, 486 nt
Filed under: Amblyopappus pusillus
Lineage: Eukaryota; Viridiplantae; Streptophyta; Magnoliopsida; Asterales; Asteraceae
Description: partial external transcribed spacer
Source: RNAcentral
UUUGCUUGCGCAACAACUUCCAUCCUUCAUUCCUCUUCAUUUGUCUGUUAAGGCUUGUAUUGCCUUAGCGGGUUGUGGGGUUUACUGUGUUGCCUACCUAAGUAAUGGUAUUGUCCUGAUCGAUGCUUGUCCCUUUUCGUCUUCUAUCAUUCUCAUGAUAGCAGAUGAACCCUGAAGCGGUCUCUUUGUACCACAUUGUUAAUGCAUGCGUUGAUGUUGUGGCCCAUUGAGCAUUGCUUGGUCUCUUGGAUACGGAACAUGAUGUGGGCAUGGGAUUUCUUACGAGAUCCUGGUUCUGUCCUCCUAUAGCGUUGCAUUACUCUUAAAUUGACUUACCUUUUCCUGCCUGGCAUAUUCCAGCAGGGACGGUUGUGUUAUUCUAAGAGGCAUGCAACGUGCACUUCUCUUAAUGACUGGCCUUCCCCCUCCACGUUUAGCACUGGCGGGGUAGGCUUUGUCAAAGAGGAAUGCUACCUGGUUGAUCCU